Molecule: long non-coding RNA, 3300 nt
Organism: Dreissena polymorpha
Lineage: Eukaryota; Metazoa; Mollusca; Bivalvia; Myida; Dreissenidae
Exons: 2
Source: RefSeq, a predicted model, not a curated record
UUUAUACUUAUGGUUUAUUUGUUGUGUAUUGUAUAUUAAUUUGUUACAACGCUUUACGUGUCGAAAAAAUGUUUUGAUAUCGAAAAAAAGGUUUUGAUAAAAUUAUGCAUUAAUAGCACAAUUUCCAGGAGGAAAACGUUUUUUACACGAAGGCGUAUGGCGCAAUAAAACGUUCUUUUGUAAGAUCGUAUUGCAUUCAAUCUAAAUUUAAAUAGGCUCGUUUAAUGAAAGCUGUGUUUCACAUUAUGCACUGUACUCUUUACACUUCAGAAAAAUGGUGUAGUCAUAUGGUCGUGUUAAUGAAAUUCUCAAACAUAUUUACCGACAUAAGUGUUUAAGAUUAUUUUUUCGUAAGUGAUGAUGCAAUCAUGUUGGAUUAUUUGAUAAUUGUGAACAUUAAAAAAGCGUUAUGUACAUGUAUGUAUACAGUUAUCGAUACGAUUCGGUUUAUAUGCAUGAAUUGGCGAAUCAUCGAUUUCACCGAUAUCCACUGCGAUCACGGCGAAUCACCGCAAAAUUGAGGGGAACCAGCGCGGAGAUUAUCUUGCUCUCGUGCGACGAGGAAGUGACGAAUAACGUGAAAUCGCGGUGAUAUUCCACUAAAAAAGCAAACUGUCCGCCUUGACUCCGUGAAUAAGGCAAAAAUCACGGGUCGCGUAGUGUAUAAACUCACGCUGUUCGGUCAGGUGAUUUUUUGUCCGGACAGGCUUACUUUUCCAUCAGCCUGUCCGGUUGACAGGCACUGUUUGGAACUUUUCAGGAAGCCUGUAAGUUCAACGUCAAGGUCACUGGGGUCAAAAUUUGUGUGCGUAUAUGGAAAGGCCUUGUCUAUAUACACAUGCAUCCAAAUAUGAAGGUUAUAUCUCAAGGGGCAUAAAAGUUAUGAGCAUUUUGAGAAACCUAAACGAAAAGUGUGACGGAAGGACAGACAGACGGACUGACAGUCCGAUCACUAUAUGCCCUUCUUCGGGGGCAAACAAAUUAUAUAUUGAAGACGAAUUUAAUAAAAUGCAGCUAAGACAAAUAAGCGCCCCGAGCCAGUUGUGACAAAGAUAUUUCGUACAUAUUUGCCUAUAAUAACCGAAGCAUUAAAUUUUGUCUUUUUAUUAGGAUCAGAGUUAGUGUUUGCAGGGCUUGUUUUCCUUCUUUGGGACCCGCCGAAAAACGGCCCUUUCUCCUCGGAUUUUUUUUUCCCCUCAGCAAGUAAGUUUUCCCCCAGACUUCAUACGCCCCCCCCCCAUUCUUUUUUUUUAAACUUCAAAUAGGUAAGUUAACCUGAUCUAGUGAAGAAAAUAUAACAUAUUGCAUAAUUAAAUUAUCUGUUGCCUUGAAUUUGUUUUAAAAACAGCAAAAUAUGUUAAAUUGAUUAUUUAAGACUACUUAUUCCCCCCAAAAUCCAGCGUUUCGCGUGAUUUUUUCCCCCAAAAUCCAGCAUUUCGCGAGAUUAUUUUUCCCCUCAAAAAAGGCCAGGCUUUUUCCCCAAAAUAAGAUAAAACACCCUGGUUUGUGUGCAUAUGAAUAGAUAUCGUUGCAGGAAAUGAAAAUGAUCCUUAAAACUAAAUUUAGAUUCACACGGUACAUGCAUGAUACACAGGGACAUUUAAUAAAAAUAUCUACGUACUACAAAUAUAUAUACAAGGGAUACAACUUUAAAAUUUCCAGCACAUCACCAUGAUCUGAACAAAAGCAAAAUAAUUGCCCUAGGCCCAAUUGUUAUGGGCGAGAAGAUUUUGAAAGUUUUCACAAAAUAGGCCUUAUAUAAGCAUAUGUUCAAUUUUGUGACCUCCGGGGCAGGGUCAAAUUUGACCCCAGGAGCAUAAUGUGAAGACAUUUGGUAGAUGACUAUUCGAUAUCUCUUCAUACCAAAUUUGAUAGCCCUAGGCGCAAUGGUUACUGACGGGAAGAUUUUGAAAGUUUUCACAAAAUAGGCCUUAUAUAAGCAUAUGUUCAAUUGUGUGACCCCCGGGGCAGGGUCAAAUUUGACCCCAGGGGCAUAAUUUGAAGAAAUUCGGUAUAGGACUAUUAGAUGUCUCUACAUACAAAAUUUGAUAGCCCCAGGCCCAAUGAUUAUGGAAGAGAAGAUUUUGAAAUUUUUCACAAAAUAGGCCUUAUAUAAGCAAAUUUUCAUUUUUGUGACCCACGGGGCAGUGUCAAAUUUGACCCCAGGAGCAUAAUUUGAACAAAUUUGAAAGAGGUUCACCUCAGGAACACUCAUGUGAAAUUUCAUCAGAAUUGGACCAGUAGUUUAGGAGAAGAAGAUGUUUUAAAGAAAAGUUAUCGCACUCACGCACGGACGCACGCACGACGGACACAGGACCAUGAAAUAAGCCCCGCUGGCUUGUGGCCAGUGGAGCUAAAAAUCAAUACUUGCACAUUCGUAUACCUUGACCUUGUACAUUGCCGCAUAAUUGUCGCGCUCUUUUGUCGGGAAAUAUACAUGAUGACUAUAUUGGAAGCAUUUGUAAACAUCGUGUUAACAUUAAAACAUUGGAAAAGUGUUUCGGAUUAUAUGUAUUUAUUAUCGUUGUGUGAAUGAAUAAACUGGUUAUACAGGUUUUUGAAGGUGAUAUAUGUCCAAUGGUGCGGAAAUCAAGAUUUCCUCGUGCACAGAUUUGUAGGUUUAGUCAUUCGACAGGCAAGCAGGGUAGAGCGAAGACUUGAUUUAAAUCGUUUUAUUUAUUUUCUCAACCACAUUUCAUUGUGAAAUUUGAUUUAUUUUUGUGUCGUAUUGGCGUUGGUAAUUUAUUAAUAUGGACAGUCAGGAUGAGAGGAGAGAUCGUCUCGCCGGCGGGGACAGGGCUGGCACAGUAAAUGGACACACGUAGCGACCACGUGGUAGCGGUCAAGAAGUGAGUUUUAUGAGAGCAGACGGAUGACUGACUUGAGAUAGAAAGGGGCAUUGGUUCCGGACAUUUUACCAUGGGAUUUACAUAGUUUUCUAAAAAGAAUACUUAACGUUUACGAUAUAGUAACAGCUGAUUAUUUGUAGAUUUCUCUAAAAUUAGAGGUUUCAGGAGGUGAUGAAGGCACCUAGACACCGGUCUUGAGCCAUGGGUCCUCAUACGUCCCCCUGCCAUUAAAAGAAAAAUGAAAAAUGAGCAGUAGGGUUGCGUAUCCCGCUCGCGGUUACACCUGAAUCGUUCGUUACCACCGAUUAUUGUUUGGGGUGUACGUGAAGUCAUGUGCACUUCUCUUAAUUGAUGGUAAUGAAUAAAUCUUGUAAUUUAUUUUUUCGUAAGUGAUGUUGCAAUUAUGUUGGAUUAUUUGAUAAUUCUGAACAUUAAAGAAGCGUUAUGUACA